Molecule: ribosomal RNA, 253 nt
Filed under: uncultured bacterium
Lineage: Bacteria
Description: partial 16S ribosomal RNA
Rfam family: Bacterial small subunit ribosomal RNA
Source: RNAcentral
UACGUAGGGUGCGAGCGUUGUCCGGAAUUAUUGGGCGUAAAGAGCUUGUAGGUGGUUUGUCGCGUCUGCUGUGAAAACCCGAGGCUCAACCUCGGGCCUGCAGUGGGUACGGGCAGACUAGAGUGCGGUAGGGGAGAUUGGAAUUCCUGGUGUAGCGGUGGAAUGCGCAGAUAUCAGGAGGAACACCAAUGGCGAAGGCAGAUCUCUGGGCCAUUACUGACGCUGAGGAGCGAAAGCGUGGGGAGCGAACAGG